UGGGGGCCUCUUAGAGGUAUAGCAAGAGGAUUUAAAGGGGCCUUACAGAUUUAUAGAGGCCUAAUAAUUCUACAACAGUCCCCCCUAAAAUGUUAUUUGCUAAAAGACAAAACUUUAUUUGUUAGUAUCAGAAGAAGUAUUAGCCCAAAGACACAGAAACCCCAUGACCGCUGACUUAGUGUUAAUGCAAAGUGCAAGUCUAUCCCUCUCUUGACCCUAACAGGCUACAGCACAUCCGUCAGUACGGUUCAGGAACACUCUUCACUCCGCUGGUAACCCAUAGUGGCUUAUCCACUACUUCUCCGUACGGCAGUCUACCCAUAAAGACGGACGCUGUCCCUGUACUGUCCCUUCCUAGACUUUCUGCACUUCAUCAGUAUAAGGGAGAGUUUGUAGCGGAAUACAGGGUGAGAUGAGGUCUUGAUCAUCGAUUGUCAGAUGAGUGAAGGUUGGUGUUGCUUGGUCUACAGUUUUCUGCAGGAAUUUCCUUAGGCAUGGGAGGACACAACAAAUGAGAAGAGCGAGAAUAAAA
Molecule: long non-coding RNA, 532 nt
Filed under: Pelobates cultripes (western spadefoot toad)
Lineage: Eukaryota; Metazoa; Chordata; Amphibia; Anura; Pelobatidae
Source: RNAcentral